GUUGUAGCUCAGUGGUAGAGUAUUUGCCUUGCAUGUGGAAGGUACUGGGUUUGAGACUCAGCACACA
Molecule: transfer RNA, 67 nt
Filed under: Marmota monax (woodchuck)
Lineage: Eukaryota; Metazoa; Chordata; Mammalia; Rodentia; Sciuridae
Description: tRNA.Ala
Rfam family: tRNA
About the family: Transfer RNA (tRNA) molecules are approximately 80 nucleotides in length. Their secondary structure includes four short double-helical elements and three loops (D, anti-codon, and T loops). Further hydrogen bonds mediate the characteristic L-shaped molecular structure. tRNAs have two regions of fundamental functional importance: the anti-codon, which is responsible for specific mRNA codon recognition, and the 3' end, to which the tRNAs corresponding amino acid is attached (by aminoacyl-tRNA synthetases). tRNAs cope with the degeneracy of the genetic code in two manners: having more than one tRNA (with a specific anti-codon) for a particular amino acid; and 'wobble' base-pairing, i.e. permitting non-standard base-pairing at the 3rd anti-codon position.
Source: RNAcentral